Long non-coding RNA from Solanum dulcamara, 425 nucleotides. RefSeq lists it as uncharacterized. Lineage: Eukaryota; Viridiplantae; Streptophyta; Magnoliopsida; Solanales; Solanaceae. The transcript has 3 exons. The record is from RefSeq and is a predicted model, not a curated record.
GAAGAGAAAAUAAGAGAAAGUCGAAGGAGAAAAUGUUAAGAAUUAAUUAACCAACCCGUUUUUGGAAGGGACAGUGAUUAGUAAUAUUGGUAUAACUUCUUGUGUACAGAUUUGUUUCGAGUGAUUUAAUAUGUUUUGGAAAGGUAUUUCGUGGCUCUAUAUCUUUCAUUCAGACUCCAAAAUCCAGUUGUACUUGUAUAAGUUCGAAAAAUGGUAAUGAAGUGUAGAGGAGGUUCUACUCAGAUUUGGUUUUGGAAAUUCUACACGGACAGCUGGCGUAAAUCCUGUUUCCCUCCAUUACCCCUUCGAAACGAAGCGACAAGGUGAAACAGUAAACUGUCCAGAUUUCACAUUUUGGAUAGUUUUGGCGAGUUUGACGAGUUUAACGUAAGGUUCAGAAGACGACGAGACGAGCAGGAUAAAGG